This 500-nucleotide ribosomal RNA is filed under the name uncultured bacterium. Its description in RNAcentral is "partial 16S ribosomal RNA". It matches the Rfam family "Bacterial small subunit ribosomal RNA", at positions 30 to 523 of the family's 1533-position model. The record is from RNAcentral.
AUUGAACGCUGGCGGAAUGCUUUACACAUGCAAGUCGAACGGCAGCACGGACUUCGGUCUGGUGGCGAGUGGCGAACGGGUGAGUAAUGUAUCGGACCGUGCCCAGUCGUGGGGGAUAACGUAGUGAAAAUUACGCUAAUACCGCAUACGAUCUAUGGAUGAAAGCGGGGGAUCGCAAGACCUCGCGCGAUUGGAGCGGCCGAUAUCAGAUUAGGUAGUUGGUGGGGUAAAGGCCCACCAAGCCAACGAUCUGUAGCUGGUCUGAGAGGACGACCAGCCACACUGGAACUGAGACACGGUCCGAACUCCUACGGGAGGCAGCAGUGGGGAAUUUUGGACAAUGGGCGAAAGCCUGAUCCAGCCAUUCCGCGUGCAGGAUGAAGGCCCUCGGGUUGUAAACUGCUUUUGUACAGAACGAAAAGGUUUCUACUAAUACUGGGAGCUCAUGACGGUACUGUAAGAAUAAGCACCGGCUAACUACGUGCCAGCAGCCGCCGUAA